This is a non-coding RNA of Mycena latifolia, 96 nucleotides long. Lineage: Eukaryota; Fungi; Basidiomycota; Agaricomycetes; Agaricales; Mycenaceae. The record is from the annotation of a GenBank genome assembly.
GGCUUGAUGGUGUAGUGGUAACACACCUGCUUUACGUUGCCGAGAACUGAACCAAUGUUUGAGCAGAAGAUCCUUGUUCAAUUCAAGGUCAGGCCA